UACAUCAGUGGCAGACGGGUGAGUAACACUGGGAACCUUCCUAGAGGUACGGAACAACGCAGGGAAACUUGCGCUAAUACCGUAUAAGCUCUUGCGAGGAAAGAUUUAUCGCCUUUAGACGGGCCCGCGUAGGAUUAGGUAGUUGGUGGGGUAACGGCCUACCAAGCCUACGAUCCUUAGCUGAUCUGAGAGGAUGAUCAGCCACACUGGAACUGAGACACGGUCCAG
RNAcentral lists this ribosomal RNA (228 nucleotides) under uncultured bacterium. RNAcentral's name for it is "partial 16S ribosomal RNA". It matches the Rfam family "Bacterial small subunit ribosomal RNA", at positions 88 to 334 of the family's 1533-position model. The record is from RNAcentral.